This 279-nucleotide ribosomal RNA is filed under the name uncultured bacterium. Its description in RNAcentral is "partial 16S ribosomal RNA". It matches the Rfam family "Bacterial small subunit ribosomal RNA", at positions 506 to 784 of the family's 1533-position model. The record is from RNAcentral.
UGCCAGCCGCCGCGGUAAUACGGGGGGGACUAACGUUGUUCGGAUUUACUGGGCGUAAAGGGCGCGUAGGCGGACUUUCAAGUCGGAUGUGAAAUCCACAGGCUUAACUUGUGGCUUGCAUUCGAUACUGUUGGUCUUGAGUAUAUCAGAGGAAAGCGGAAUUCCAGGUGUAGCGGUGAAAUGCGUAGAUAUCUGGAAGAACACCAGUAGCGAAGGCGGCUUUCUGGGGUAAUACUGACGCUGAAGCGCGAAGGCUAGGGGAGCAAACAGGAUUAGAUA